AGGAUGCGGAGGAGCCACCGUGGUCCGGCCUUCUCCCCGCCCGCGCCGCCGUCGCCGCCAACCAUCCUCCCCAUCCCGCCUCAACCAUCCUCACCGUCUCGCCGCCGUCGCCGAGAUCGACGCCCAAGGCAGCGGCGGGCAAGAAGCAAUAGAAGACCACCAAGGCGCCGACGGAGAAGAAGGCAAAGGCGGAGGAGAAGCCGGUGGCGAAGGACGAGGUGUGCGUGGAGUAGCCCGGAGCGAGGAGGAGGACGAGAUGGCUACCUCCGGGGAGCAGCAGAAGGAGUUGGGGCACGCGGCGGCGGUGGCGGCGGCCAAGAGGCGCAUAGCGCAGGCGACCAAGAAGGCCAGGAACGUGGCCGCCGGCGACAAGGAGCCCGAGUUCCUCGGCCAGCCCCCAUCCCUGCCGACGAGGCCCGCGCCAAGUGGCUGCAGCGCUACCUGUGUGGCUCGCCCAAGAGGUGCAAGCCACUGUUCAGCAAAUCCAGGGUAUCUUUGACCAUUGCUUAGCUGUUCAUGAUAAGCUAGAGACAUCAUUGCACGAUUUGUCUAGGACCGGAGACGCUAAAUCUUGCAAAGCAGCUCGUAAAGCUGUUGAUGCACAGUUUAAGGAAUUAGCGAAAGAGCUGAAGCUGCUAUUGUUAUCUGUAUAGUCAUCCCCUCAGUCUUAUCAGAUAUGGCCAAAGCUAGAGGGCUUGGUUGCGAAGGAGAGGGAGAUGUAGGAGAAGCUCAUGGCAAGGCAUGCCACCGUGGUUGACAGCUUUGAGAAGAAGCAGCGUGGGCAACAAUCCUGACUAUAUGCUUGAAUAUAAAAUCUACAGUGUCUC
Molecule: long non-coding RNA, 827 nt
Organism: Triticum dicoccoides
Lineage: Eukaryota; Viridiplantae; Streptophyta; Magnoliopsida; Poales; Poaceae
Exons: 3
Source: RefSeq, a predicted model, not a curated record